Molecule: small nuclear RNA, 187 nt
Organism: Molossus molossus (Pallas's mastiff bat)
Lineage: Eukaryota; Metazoa; Chordata; Mammalia; Chiroptera; Molossidae
Product: U2 spliceosomal RNA
Exons: 1
Source: RefSeq, a predicted model, not a curated record
AAAAAUUGGCCUUUUGGCUAAGAUCAACUGUAGUAUCUGUUCUUAUUAGUUUAAUAUCUGAUAGGUCCUCUAUCUAGGGACAUUAUUUAAAUGUAUUUAUGGAACAGGGAGAUGGAAUAGGAGCUUGCUCUGUCCACUCCACGCAUCAACCUGGUAUUGCAUUACCUCCGGGAACGAUGCACCAGAA